Mytilus trossulus (common blue mussel) is the source of this 489-nucleotide long non-coding RNA. RefSeq lists it as uncharacterized. The transcript has 3 exons. The record is from RefSeq and is a predicted model, not a curated record. NCBI's taxonomy places the organism in Eukaryota, Metazoa, Mollusca, Bivalvia, Mytilida, Mytilidae.
UCCUAAUGACGUUGGGAAGAGAAUGAAGGAAAUCAAUGAAGCCUCUCAAAUUAACCGUCAGGUUUGCUCCAAUUAUAAUGGUUCAAAAAACUUCAGAAGACCUUGGGGACGAGGUGGCCAGAGCAGUCAGCCACAGAGUCCAUACAGAGGCCAAUCAUGGAGAUCCAACAGAGGCAGAGGCCGAGGCUACAGAGCCAGGGGCUCCUACAGAGGAAAGUUUUAGAAUCUAAACAUGAUAAGCCGGGUGCUACAGAAAAUCCAAGACGAUCAGUGAACAGAGUGACAUUGACGUUGGAUGAACAUUGAUUUAUGUGAUGAGUUCGUUGGAUGAACAUUGAUUUAUAUGUGAUGAGUUCGUGGGAUGGACUAUUCCGAUUGAUGAGAAAGAGACUUUAUUUAGUGCUAUGAUAGAGCAGUGCAGUACAUAAUUGAACUUUAAUACAUUUAUUGUUUUCUGGUGGGGUAAUGUAAUUUGGGAUGAUUACUUUA